GAUGAACGCUAGCUACAGGCUUAACACAUGCAAGUCGAGGGGUAACGAGAGGAAAGCUUGCUUUCCUUGUUGACGACCGGCGCACGGGUGAGUAACGCGUAUCCAACCUGCCCCCAACUAGGGAAUAACCUUGCGAAAGUAAGACUAAUACCCUACAAUUUCCUCAGAUGUCAUCUGACGAGGAAUAAAGAUUUAUCGGUUGUGGAUGGGGAUGCGUCUGAUUAGCUUGUUGGCGGGGUAACGGCCCACCAAGGCAACGAUCAGUAGGGGUUCUGAGAGGAAGGUCCCCCACAUUGGAACUGAGACACGGUCCAAACUCCUACGGGAGGCAGCAGUGAGGAAUAUUGGUCAAUGGGCGGAAGCCUGAACCAGCCAAGUAGCGUGCAGGAUGACGGCCCUAUGGGUUGUAAACUGCUUUUAUACAGGAAUAAAGUUAGCCACGUGUGGUUAUUUGUAGGUACUGUAUGAAUAAGGACCGGCUAAUUCCGUGCCAGCAGCCGCAGUAA
This 506-nucleotide ribosomal RNA is filed under the name uncultured bacterium. RNAcentral's name for it is "partial 16S ribosomal RNA". It matches the Rfam family "Bacterial small subunit ribosomal RNA", at positions 28 to 523 of the family's 1533-position model. The record is from RNAcentral.